RNAcentral lists this ribosomal RNA (450 nucleotides) under uncultured bacterium. RNAcentral's name for it is "partial 16S ribosomal RNA". It matches the Rfam family "Bacterial small subunit ribosomal RNA", at positions 354 to 796 of the family's 1533-position model. The record is from RNAcentral.
GUGGGGAAUUUUGGACAAUGGGCGCAAGCCUGAUCCAGCAAUGCCGCGUGCAGGAAGAAGGCCUUCGGGUUGUAAACUGCUUUUGUACGGAACGAAACGGUCCGGGUUAAUACCCUGGGCUAAUGACGGUACCGUAAGAAUAAGCACCGGCUAACUACGUGCCAGCAGCCGCGGUAAUACGUAGGGUGCAAGCGUUAAUCGGAAUUACUGGGCGUAAAGCGUGCGCAGGCGGUUAUGUAAGACAGAGGUGAAAUCCCCGGGCUCGACCUGGUAACUGCCUUUGUGACUGCAUAUCGGGAGUGAGGCAGAGGGGGAUGGAAUUCCGCGUGUAGCAGUGAAAUGCGUAGAUAUGCGGAGGAACACCGAUGGCGAAGGCAAUCCCCUGGGCCUGUACUGACGCUCAUGCACGAAAGCGUGGGGAGCAAACAGGAUUAGAUACCCCUGUAGUCC